CUGUGUUAAGUAUUCCCACCUACAAGCAUUGCCCAACACGAUUAAGUUCUGGUGCUCAAUAUGUAGGGUGGAGUAAGACAAGUGUGUCCACCUGUACAAUCAUGAUGCUGAUUGUGUCUACAAGGGCCUGGUCACAGGAACUUCCGGACAUCCAAUGUGAGCUGAGCACCACUUGACUGGAAAAUCUCCCUGUACACACGAGGAUGUGUGUAUCUACAGCUCCAGAUCUGUGGCUGCCAAACUUUUUGGAAACUUGCAGGUGAAUCUGUACAAGGGUGGCAGGUGGAAGGUUUCGUUCUGCACCUUACAUGACUACACAAAGAUGGAAGGUACGGAAAAGGGAAGAGAAAGCCAUUCACAAAACAACAUGACCAUCCACCUGCAAUG
Long non-coding RNA from Triticum aestivum (bread wheat), 387 nucleotides. RefSeq lists it as uncharacterized. The transcript has 3 exons. The record is from RefSeq and is a predicted model, not a curated record. Lineage: Eukaryota; Viridiplantae; Streptophyta; Magnoliopsida; Poales; Poaceae.